Molecule: ribosomal RNA, 510 nt
Filed under: uncultured bacterium
Lineage: Bacteria
Description: partial 16S ribosomal RNA
Rfam family: Bacterial small subunit ribosomal RNA
Source: RNAcentral
GCCGAACGCUGGCGGCGUGCUUAACACAUGCAAGUCGAACGAAGAGCGAUGGAAGCUUGCUUCUAUCAAUCUUAGUGGCGAACGGGUGAGUAACGCGUAAUCAACCUGCCCUUCAGAGGGGGACAACAGUUGGAAACGACUGCUAAUACCGCAUACGAUCUAAUCUCGGCAUCGAGGAUAGAUGAAAGGUGGCCUCUACAUGUAAGCUAUCACUGAAGGAGGGGAUUGCGUCUGAUUAGCUAGUUGGAGGGGUAACGGCCCACCAAGGCGAUGAUCAGUAGCCGGUCUGAGAGGAUGAACGGCCACAUUGGGACUGAGACACGGCCCAGACUCCUACGGGAGGCAGCAGUGGGGAAUCUUCCGCAAUGGACGAAAGUCUGACGGAGCAACGCCGCGUGAGUGAUGACGGCCUUCGGGUUGUAAAGCUCUGUUAAUCGGGACGAAAGGCCUUCUUGCGAAUAGUGAGAAGGAUUGACGGUACCGGAAUAGAAAGCCACGGCUAACUACGUG